RNAcentral lists this RNase P RNA (164 nucleotides) under Klebsiella quasipneumoniae. RNAcentral describes it as "partial RNase P RNA component class A". It matches the Rfam family "Bacterial RNase P class A", at positions 191 to 367 of the family's 367-position model. From Rfam's summary of the family: Ribonuclease P (RNase P) is a ubiquitous endoribonuclease, found in archaea, bacteria and eukarya as well as chloroplasts and mitochondria. Its best characterised activity is the generation of mature 5'-ends of tRNAs by cleaving the 5'-leader elements of precursor-tRNAs. Lineage: Bacteria; Pseudomonadati; Pseudomonadota; Gammaproteobacteria; Enterobacterales; Enterobacteriaceae. The record is from RNAcentral.
AACAGUCCGUGGCACGGUAAACUCCUCCCGGAGCUAGGCCAAAUAGGGGUUCAUAAGGUACGGCCCGUACUGAACCCGGGUAGGCUUCUUGAGCCAGUGAGCGAUUGCUGGCCUAGAUGAAGGACUGUCCACGACAGAACCCGGCUUAUCGGUCAGUUUCACUC